Molecule: non-coding RNA, 947 nt
Organism: Paramuricea clavata
Lineage: Eukaryota; Metazoa; Cnidaria; Anthozoa; Malacalcyonacea; Plexauridae
Source: the annotation of a GenBank genome assembly
GAUAAAUAUGCCAAAAUUUCAGGACAAAUAUUUUAUAAUUUAUUACACAAAGAAGAGAGCUUAUUAGAAAUACUUUCAAGCCGCUGCCGAAAGUGUCAUACAAUCAUGAUCUAUUCAUGCCAGUAUAGCAUAAUAAUUACUCUUAAAGCAGUCAAUUUUUGCCUUCAGCAAUUGGUUAAUCACUUUGCCUUCAGCUAAUGGUAAUUUGGUUAAUUUUAGAACUCAAACAGGCUUUCCGACAACUUGAAUUAAAUUGCAUGACAUGCAGAGAAUAAAAAUAUCUUAAUUUAAAAUUUGCAUCCUAGUCCCGGCUAUUUUUAUCUCCAAGUUCAGUUAUAUAUACCAGCAUUCAUUAAUCUUGCAGCGAAGAAUCUAUAAUGCUUUAAUUUCUUCCUAAAUCUCACACAAACCUCCGAAUAUGGCUUAAUAUAUUUUCAUGAACUCUAGCAAUCUUAUAUGAAAAUUUAACAUCAUUUGGUAUCUCAUUGACAUUGUAAUAUAUGUUGGCCUUUGUGCGGUCAGAUCUAUUUCGGUUAUAAUAGCUUAUAUCCUUGUUUACAUAUCUUAAAUUAACCUAUUUUUGGAUUUAUUUCACUCCAAAACACUUGAAGUUCUUUCAUAUGUCAAUGAUACAAAACUACCGAGUCUGGACUCAGUCCCCCUUGAUGGAUCUCCUGUUUAUGCAAUAUGCUGUUUAAUACCUCCCAGCAGCAACACUUGAGUCUUGACCAAUAAAGUAUAUGGCUCUUUCUACUUGGACCUCUAGAGAGUACAGUUUAUGAUAGAACGGAUAUUAUAGAGUUAUCCAGUAUAAAUGAAGUCAUAGUUUAGUUCAGGCUUCCUCCUAGCUAUAGUAACAAUAAAACAUGACCCUAUAUACUGGACCUCUAGGAAGAACAGUUUAGAACUUAUAUAGAGCUAUCCAGUAUAAAUAAAGUCAGUUUAGU